GGGGGUAGAUGAGUUCCGGUGGGCUCCGCGGUCUUCAACACCGUUGUAAGGGGUUAGUAGCCUCUUGGGUGGGUUCGAUUCCCACGUACCUCCGCCA
RNAcentral lists this transfer RNA (97 nucleotides) under Tissierellia bacterium. RNAcentral's name for it is "tRNA-Sec". It matches the Rfam family "Selenocysteine transfer RNA". Lineage: Bacteria; Bacillati; Bacillota; Tissierellia. The record is from RNAcentral.